CAAAAUGAACAAUUACAAAUCAAUAAAGAUCCCCCAUUGAAGUCUUUUGAAAAAAGUGAGAGAAUGCCAAGUACCAAAAAGAUAAGGUUGACAAAGCUUAUGUACUUGGUGGGAGAAAAAUGGCGCUCUAAAUUUGAAAAGCUGGAUUGGAACUCAUCACGUUAUGCAGUUAGGUAAAUGCUUAGGGGAUGGAGACCGCAAAAGUACAUGUCCCAGGCAUUGGGAGAGCGAUUCGAGAAGUUGACUGCCAAAACCUAGGUCUAACGUACCUCUCAACUUUUGAUUCUCCUUGGAAAAGAAUGUUUCUACGACUUUAGAAACAACAAAAACUUGCACAAUUAAAUUGGAAACUCUAACCUCUUCUACAUUACGGUUACUAUUAACCAUGGUUCUAGGCUUGACAGCACUACAGAGUAACUUGGGUCACCAUGGUUUUCGGUAAAUCCUCGAUGCCAUAUCUUCUUCUAUUUCUACCGAAAUAUGGCUGUGAUAGAGGGUACGAAGUGGAAGGGAGAUUCUUAAAACGCGCAACAACGCGCCAUAUCUUAUUCGAUUUCCACCGAAAUAUGGCUGUGAUAGAGGGUACAAAAUGGGAGGGCGAUUCUUACAUCGCGGAGGGCAAUACUUUGGACAGUCAGCCAAUUAUGGAAAAAUAAGGUUUAUGGGAGAAUUCUCAUAUGGAGAUAGAGUGCCAUUUAUGGAAAAGUAAAGAGAAUUCUCAAAUGAAGAUAGAGUUGAGAAAAGGAGAGAGCUUAGUGGAGUAAGGAACGAGAGUAAGCUAGAGAGGAAAAGAAUUCUCUGCGGCUGCGGUAGGGAGUGAGAGAAGAUAAAGAGAGCGAGUAGGGAGCAAGAGUGAGAAGCUAGAAAGUGCGACAGUGAGAGCAAAAUCUUUGAACUCUCAUAUGAGAGAAAAAAAAAGAAGUUUGGGAGUGCUUAUAUACAUAGGUUUGGGUUGAGAUAAAGAUAAAUUUCAAAUAUAUUUAAUUGUAAGAUCAAAUAUGAAGCCAAAUUUCCUCUAUUCAUGUCAAAUUUGAAAGAAUUCACGUACCUUUAUGAUGCUAUCUAUUAAUUCG
This 1073-nucleotide long non-coding RNA is filed under the name Amborella trichopoda. RNAcentral describes it as "long non-coding RNA (ATRI_LNC001137)". Lineage: Eukaryota; Viridiplantae; Streptophyta; Magnoliopsida; Amborellales; Amborellaceae. The record is from RNAcentral.